This 77-nucleotide transfer RNA is filed under the name Bipolaricaulis sanaerobius (SeqCode). Its description in RNAcentral is "tRNA-Pro". It matches the Rfam family "tRNA". From Rfam's summary of the family: Transfer RNA (tRNA) molecules are approximately 80 nucleotides in length. The record is from RNAcentral. Lineage: Bacteria; Candidatus Bipolaricaulota; Bipolaricaulia (SeqCode); Bipolaricaulales (SeqCode); Candidatus Bipolaricaulaceae. RNAcentral also lists the same sequence under 1 other name.
CGGGGCGUGGCGCAGCUCGGAAGCGCACCUGCUUUGGGAGCAGGGGGUCGCUGGUUCAAAUCCAGUCGCCCCGACCA